GACGAACGCUGGCGGCGUGCUUAACACAUGCAAGUCGAACGGAAAGGCCCUGCUUUUGUGGGGUGCUCGAGUGGCGAACGGGUGAGUAACACGUGAGUAACCUGCCCUUGACUUUGGGAUAACUUCAGGAAACUGGGGCUAAUACCGGAUAGGAGCUCCUGCUGCAUGGUGGGGGUUGGAAAGUUUCGGCGGUUGGGGAUGGACUCGCGGCUGAUGAGCUUGUUGGUGGGGUAGUGGCUUACCAAGGCUUUGACGGGUAGCCGGCAUGGGAGGGUGACCGGCGACAAGGGGACUGAGAUACGGCCCAGUGGCGUACAGGGGGCAGCGGUGGGGAAUAUGGCACAGUGAGCGGGAGCCUGAUGCAGAGGCGCCGGGGGCGGGAUGACGGCCUUCGGGUAGUAAACCGCUUUCGGCUGUGACGAAGCGGGAGUGACGGUAAUGAGUAAAGAAGCACCGGCUAACUACGUG
Molecule: ribosomal RNA, 468 nt
Filed under: uncultured bacterium
Lineage: Bacteria
Description: partial 16S ribosomal RNA
Rfam family: Bacterial small subunit ribosomal RNA
Source: RNAcentral